Long non-coding RNA from Oncorhynchus keta (chum salmon), 2080 nucleotides. RefSeq lists it as uncharacterized. NCBI's taxonomy places the organism in Eukaryota, Metazoa, Chordata, Actinopteri, Salmoniformes, Salmonidae. The record is from RefSeq and is a predicted model, not a curated record. The transcript is spliced from 4 exons.
CCUUGCGAUGUGAGUUGUAUUAGUUAGUAUGGUAAUGUAAUGUUAUUGGUCAGUUUCCCUAACUAAUUCCCUACUUUUCACACUGACACAGUCGUAAACAGCUCUAUGGUUACAUGGUGCACAGUAGAGGUCUACACAGGACCGGUUUCUUCAUUCGGCUCCUGCCUGCACCCGCAGUCGUUGUUGUCCCACCCCACCCGCAGUCUCACAAUGUUAUUUUAGGCGUACAGUAUGUGACGUGACUGAGCUCAUUUUGCCAACCACGGUCUCAACUAUUUUUCGCCCUAUAGGCAAUAUCAAAUGCGAGGGGGAAAAAAAUAACUUAAGAGAUUUAAAUGACCAGAGAUUCUCACAUGGCCCUUCAUAUUGUAUUACUGGGCUUUAUCAGCCAACAUGCUGGAUGUAGAUUGGAAAGAGCAGAAUUGGAGAGACUUGCACUUCCUCUUGAGCUGUUAUUUUUGCCUACCCUUUAAGGAGUGGGAAGAUUUUCAGAGAGGAUAAAUACGAGGGAUCAAUAUUUAGGCCAAUUUCUAGACAAUGUAGUAAACUAUAGCCUAAUCAUAGGCCUAUUUAGGAAGUACAUUUCCUUGGAAAGAUAACUGCCCUGUGCUUCUCCACCCAGGCAUUGGCUACAGUCUACUCUAUUUAAUAGAGACAACACGCUCACCUGAUCUCACAGGUACGGCUACUGAACUGGAAGCAGAGAGAAUGAUGACAGACACAACUCCUAUGUUUUACAUAGGCCUAUAGGACAUAGCCUACCUUUUAGGGAGACGAUUUGCAGGCAGAGACAAACUAAAUGGGUAAUCAAUCAGCCAAGUCCAUAUGAUCUGGUGAUUUCUCCAGUCUCCAGUCAGAGCUAUGGUAACACUGAGACAAGGAAGAGGUAGAAGAGGCCUCAACCACAGACAGAUGAGUAGCAAGCAGAACCCAGACAGAGGUAGAGAGAAGAGGCCUCAACCACAGACAGAUGAGUAGCAGCAGAACCCAGACAGAGGUAGAGAGAAGAGGCCUCAACCACAGACAGAUGAGUAGCAGCAGAACCCAGACAGAGGUAGAGAGAAGAGGCCUCAACCACAGACAGAUGAGUAGCAGCAGAACCCAGACAGAGGUAGAGAGAAGAGGCCUCAACCACAGACAGAUGAGUAGCAGCAGAACCCAGACAGAGGUAGAGAGAAGAGGCCUCAACCACAGACAGAUGAGUAGCAAGCAGAACCCAGACAGAGGUAGAGAGAAGAGGCCUCAACCACAGACAGAUGAGUAGCAGCAGAACCCAGACAGAGGUAGAGAGAAGAGGCCUCAACCACAGACAGAUGAGUAGCAGCAGAACCCAGACAGAGGUAGAGAGAAGAGGCCUCAACCACAGACAGAUGAGUAGCAAGCAGAACCCAGACAGAGGUAGAGAGAAGAGGCCUCAACCACAGACAGAUGAGUAGCAAGCAGAACCCAGACAGAGGUAGAGAGAAGAGGCCUCAACCACAGACAGAUGAGUAGCAGCAGAACCCAGACAGAGGUAGAGAGAAGAGGCCUCAACCACAGACAGAUGAGUAGCAGCAGAACCCAGACAGAGGUAGAGAGAAGAGGCCUCAACCACAGACAGAUGAGUAGCAGCAGAACCCAGACAGAGGUAGAGAGAAGAGGCCUCAACCAAAGACAGAUGAGUAGCAAGCAGAACCCAGACAGAGGUAGAGAGAAGAGGCCUCAACCAAAGACAGAGGUAGAGAGAAGAGGCCUCAACCACAGACAGAGGUAGAGAGAAGAGGCCUCAACCAAAGACAGAGGUAGAGAGAAGAGGGGCGAAGGUUCAUCUUACAUGGCGACACCCCUGUCAGAUCACGACCCUGUGAUAGAUUUGGUAGAAUUGCCUGAUGGCACGUGGGCCAUGAAGCAGAUGACACCACAGAUUAUCUUCACCUAUGAAAGGACCAAUGUGUUUCCUGACUCUGUGUAAACAUCCCGUGUAAAAGAGACAAUGUGUUACCUGACUCUGUGUAAACAUCACGUGUAAAAGAGACAAUGUGUUACCUGACUCUGUGUAAACAUCACGUGUAAAGGAGACAAUGUGUUACCUGACUCUGUG